Molecule: ribosomal RNA, 333 nt
Filed under: uncultured bacterium
Lineage: Bacteria
Description: bacterial SSU rRNA
Rfam family: Bacterial small subunit ribosomal RNA
Source: RNAcentral
CGUGUAGGCGGCCGAUCAAGUCCGGUGUGAAAGCCCGAGGCUCAGCUUCGGAAGUGCAUCGGAAACUAGCCGGCUCGAGCGCGAUAGAGGAGGGUGGAAUUCCUGGUGUAGCGGUGAAAUGCGUAGAUAUCAGGAGGAACACCGGCGGCGAAGGCGGCCCUCUGGAUCGUUGCUGACGCUGAGACGCGAAAGCGUGGGGAGCAAACAGGAUUAGAUACCCUGGUAGUCCACGCUGUAAACGAGUGGGUACUAGGUGUUUGGGGUGUUGACCCCCUGAGUGCCGACGCUAACGCAUUAAGUACCCCGCCUGGGGACUACGGCCGCAAGGUUAAA